AUUGACGUGAAUCGAAGCGGAGUGCUUGCACAAAGCCGGACUUCACUGAUUGGAUUUCCCUCUAGUGGCGAAACGGGUGAGUAACACGUGGGUACCUGCCCUCAAGUUGGGGGAUAUCAUCUGGAAACGGAUAGUAAUACCGAAUGUGAUCUGAGGAUUAAAGGAGCCUUUAAAGCUUCGCUUGAGGAUGGGCCUGCGCUGUAUUAGCUUGUUGGUGGGGUAAUGGCCUACCAAGGCUACGAUGCAUAGCCGAACUGAGAGGUUGAUCGGCCACACUGGGACUGAGACACGGCCCAGACUCCUACGGGAGACAGCAGUUAGGAAUAUUCGUCAAUGGGGGAAACCCUGAACGAGCAAUGCCGCGUGAAUGAUUAGAAGGCCCUAUGGGUUGUAAAAUUCUGUUGUUUGGAAAGAACAUCGAGAGUAGGAAAUGACUCUCGACUGACGGUACCAUUCAAGAAAGCCACGGCUAACUACGUGCCAGCAGCCGC
This 491-nucleotide ribosomal RNA is filed under the name uncultured bacterium. RNAcentral describes it as "bacterial SSU rRNA". It matches the Rfam family "Bacterial small subunit ribosomal RNA", at positions 38 to 518 of the family's 1533-position model. The record is from RNAcentral.